UUUUUAAUAUAUUUUUUCUGCGCGCGGGGAACAUGGCGCACGUGCGCAUUAAGUAUUACACAUGGUUUCGAAAUUUUUGACGUUUCCGGUAAGUUUUAGCUUGUGGCUCAUUUAUCACGCGUCUAAGGACGGAUAAGUAGUGUUGGCAAAGGUACCGCGUUCUAAAAGGGGUGUAAACCGUGGUGAAACUCGUGUUGGUGCGGUAGAAAGGGGUGCCGAUCAUACCAGCACUAAAGCACCGGAUCCCAUCAGAACUCCGAAGUUAAGCGUGCUUGGGCGAGAGUAGUACUAGGAUAGGUGACCUCCUGGGAAGUCCUCGUGUUGCAUUCCC
Molecule: ribosomal RNA, 331 nt
Filed under: Hordeum murinum
Lineage: Eukaryota; Viridiplantae; Streptophyta; Magnoliopsida; Poales; Poaceae
Source: RNAcentral